CUCUCCGAUAUUUUUUUCCUCCCCCCCUGGCGUCCGCCCACAGCCCUCUCUCCCUCGUGGCGCUGCCCUCCGCCCAUUCCUCCUCCCGCGCCCUCCCAUGGCGGCGGCGCCCUAGCAGCUCCAUCCUCCUCCCCUCCCUUCAGCCUCUCAGAUCCAUUCGGGCGGCGCAGCCCUCCUGCAGGGAAUUUUUUUCCCGGCGUAGCCAGUCGUCGCAGCACCCUCCCACCCCAACGGUGCUGAGGGCGAGCUCCGACGGGCGGGUGCCGGGGCCAAGUUCCAGCGGCGCGCCCAAGGGCGGGCGUUGAGGGCGAGCUUCGGGCGGGUGCCGGGGUCAAGCUCCGGCGGCGCACCCAAGGGCGGGCGUUGACGACGAGCUCCGACGGGCAGGUGCUGGGGUCAAGCUCCGGCGGCGCGCCCAAGGGUCGUGCAGUCUGUUAAGAUCCAGCAGGUGUGCCCCCGGCGGCUUCAGCUGCGGCCUCUCCUUGGGACUGCGAGGGCUCAAGGCCUGCGGGUGUGCAGGUGCUCUCACCCUCCGCGUCAGGCAGCACGCGAGGCUCCGAGAAUGGAGAUCUCCUCUUCUGGAUCUAGCGCCCCACCCUCAACGAGUCCAGAUGUAGUAGUGGAUUUAUGAGUUCUGAAGAUCAAUUCAGGCUAUGGUUGUGCUGGGACCAACGUCCUUGGAGGGGGCUUUGGCCAUAUUGCUAAACCUUUUGCAAGAUGAGAAUUGUCAUCCAUGGCUUCAAGGCAAAGAGGAUCAACACGAUGUCCAGAUACUUUGAGCUCUUUUCCUUCAUUGUCAAAUGAUGCAACACUACUUUUAUUUGAAACAUAGCUAUCGUCCUUCAAUGUAUAGACUAUUUUCGUGACAGUUUUAGCUAUUUUUGUGACUAUUUCUAGCUCUCAUGAAAUCUCUGUUUUCGGGUAACGCGUUGCAAACUGAAUCAGUUAAGCUAAUAACUGAAUCUGCUUGUUCUUGAGCAAA
Molecule: long non-coding RNA, 982 nt
Organism: Panicum virgatum (switchgrass)
Lineage: Eukaryota; Viridiplantae; Streptophyta; Magnoliopsida; Poales; Poaceae
Exons: 2
Source: RefSeq, a predicted model, not a curated record